GAAAGACCACAAACCCUCACAGACUGUUCCUCCUCAAGCCCAAAAUAGGCUUGUUUUUCAAAUGCUUCUCCGCAAUUCUCAGUGAAAAUGGAAUGAGGGAUAGAGAGAGAGAGAGAGAGAGAGGGAGGGAGGGAGAGACAGAGGGAGGGAGGGAGAGACAGAGGGAGAGAGGGAGGGAGAGAGAGAGAAGGAGGGGGAGAGAGAGAAGGAGGGGGAGAGAGAGAAGGAGGGGGAGAGAGAGAAGGAGGGGGAGAGAGAGAGAGAGAGACGGAGACUCCAAAUGUAAGUCCCUUCUGGAAUCUUAUCGGAUUCCAAAUGAUCUAGACUCUGUUCCUACACAGGUAACACUCCACAAGACAUGACACCGGACAGCAGACAUUUGGAAUCUUCUGGAUGUCAGAGCCACCUUUUUCUUUCAUCUUUCCAACCAGAUGAAUGCCAAACUUGCAAGGCGGGUCAAGUGAGGACGGCAGAACAUAAUGGAAAAUUUUCAGAGGCAGAAUGUGAUCACGUCACGGCAAGAAUGUUGGACGUCAGGGCCGAAGCCCAGGUGUUAGUCACAGCUAACUCUGACUCAAGCCAGGACAAAA
This is a long non-coding RNA of Panthera uncia (snow leopard), 590 nucleotides long. RefSeq lists it as uncharacterized. The transcript is spliced from 2 exons. NCBI's taxonomy places the organism in Eukaryota, Metazoa, Chordata, Mammalia, Carnivora, Felidae. The record is from RefSeq and is a predicted model, not a curated record.